RNAcentral lists this long non-coding RNA (1426 nucleotides) under Heterocephalus glaber (naked mole-rat). RNAcentral describes it as "lncRNA (ENSHGLG00000038040.1)". The record is from RNAcentral. Lineage: Eukaryota; Metazoa; Chordata; Mammalia; Rodentia; Bathyergidae.
AAAAAACUCAAAAAGACCCAAUCCAAAAAUGAACCCUCAGAAGCCUACUUGGAUAGCUGUGGCUAAUUAUCUUUGGAUUCUCAGUCCUGCCUGUAAGGCCAAACUGAUACUUUUGUAGUCAUUAUGACUUAAUGGAACUUUUUUUAUAUGGUUGCCUAGAAACCACUUUUUCAAGCCAAACGCCCUCCAAAACACACACAGCUUUCUCUUAGGGGAAGAUGCAGUUUUAAAUCUGGGCCAAAGACCUCAGGUGAAAAAGGUGACGGAUCCACAGGGAGAAAUCCAUAUUGAAUCAGAGGUUCUUGUAGAAGCAGGAGAAGGAGGUUACGCAGAGCCGGUUCUCAGCUUAGAUGUGGGGUCUGAAGUUAAAGCCGCACAUACGCCUUGGCAUCCGUGUCCAGGAGAGGCGGUGAAGGAGACGUCAGCAGGGGACCUGCUCUUCCGGCUCUAGUUCCAGAAUCCUGCCAAAAUGAAGUUUCGAAGGCAAAUGGGGUUUCUGGUUUCUACAGCAACCUCUUAUGAUUCCUGAAUAGAAAGAACGUUUAAUCCUCUCCUCACCGCUGGGAUUUCCCAGACUAAAUCAACGGUCCUUCGGGACAGCAAUAAAGUCAGCAAAAGCAAUUAUCCUCAGACAAGCAGACGGGCAGACUCUUGUCACUGCUCAUCCUGCAAUUCCAUGAGAAGGAUGAAGCCGAGGAUUUGUGUCUGAACGAAACUGCCCUUCCAUAACUCCAGGGCCCUGCCUCUCACAGCACCCAACUGGGUAAAGCCAAGAGCACCAUCUUUUGUUUUUUCAGCAAAUGACAGCUGUGCAUGGGAUUUGGAGCCAAGGUCUCACAGGGAUUUAGAAGUUCAGCAGGUGCAGUACUAUCAAAAGGUCUGCAUUUCUGAACACUGGCUCAUUCAAACGCCAGAGAUGAUGCAGCCAUUUUAAUUUUUCUAAAAGAAGCUUCUCAGGAACACAGGACCAUAGGACAAGAACAACUCUUCCUCCUCCUCCUCCUCCUCCUUCUUUGGCAAGAUAGAGGAAGAUGGAAAAAUAUAAGGCCAGUGUGUAAUGAGGAAAAACUUUAAUGACAACUCAAGAUCUGACAAAGAUUGUACAAGAGCAAGCAGUAGAAUCAAAAUGUCUUUGCUCAUGGUAUCCACAAUGUUCUUCUUGCAUUUAAAUUUCUUCAAGUAAAAAGAAAUAUAUUCAUUCUUUGCUCAUUAUGGUCCCAGCAGAUAGUACUUAUAUUUCUUACUAAAACUCUUCAAGUAGUGCAAAAAAGAAGAUGGACUGAGAAAAACCAAGCCAUAAAAGUGUUAUCUAUCAGCAGUUUUGUUAAAAAGCCAUCAUUAAGAAAGAAAAAAUGUAAAUUGUAGAAAUGAGGUCACAAUUUAAUUGAUAUAAAUUGCAGCCACCUGCUCAUCCCAUUUCCAGGAG